UGGGGAAUCUUGCGCAAUGGGGGAAACCCUGACGCAGCGACGCCGCGUGCGGGAUGAAGGCCUUCGGGUUGUAAACCGCUUUCAGCAGGGACGAGGCCUUAUGGUGACGGUACCUGCAGAAGAAGCUCCGGCUAAAUACGUGCCAGCAGCCGCGGUAAUACGUAUGGAGCAAGCGUUAUCCGGAUUCAUUGGGCGUAAAGCGCUCGUAGGCGGUCUGUUAGGUCGGCAAGUUAAAUCCGGGGGCUCAACCCCGGAACUGCCUUUGAUACUGGAAGUCUUGAGUAUGGUAGAGGUGAGUGGAAUUCCGAGUGUAGAGGUGAAAUUCGUAGAUAUUCGGAGGAACACCAGUGGCGAAGGCGGCUCACUGGACCAUUACUGACGCUGAGGUGCGAAAGCGUGGGGAGCAAACAGG
This 412-nucleotide ribosomal RNA is filed under the name Verrucomicrobiota bacterium. Its description in RNAcentral is "Verrucomicrobia bacterium partial 16S ribosomal RNA". It matches the Rfam family "Bacterial small subunit ribosomal RNA", at positions 355 to 776 of the family's 1533-position model. Lineage: Bacteria; Pseudomonadati; Verrucomicrobiota. The record is from RNAcentral.